GCUCCUAUCGUUUAAUCAGGUUAAGGCAGUGUUUUUUCGUGACAUCAAUGUGGGUUCAAAUCCCACUAGGAGUA
RNAcentral lists this transfer RNA (74 nucleotides) under Caulacanthus okamurae. RNAcentral's name for it is "tRNA-Glu". It matches the Rfam family "tRNA". Rfam says of the family: Transfer RNA (tRNA) molecules are approximately 80 nucleotides in length. Their secondary structure includes four short double-helical elements and three loops (D, anti-codon, and T loops). Further hydrogen bonds mediate the characteristic L-shaped molecular structure. tRNAs have two regions of fundamental functional importance: the anti-codon, which is responsible for specific mRNA codon recognition, and the 3' end, to which the tRNAs corresponding amino acid is attached (by aminoacyl-tRNA synthetases). tRNAs cope with the degeneracy of the genetic code in two manners: having more than one tRNA (with a specific anti-codon) for a particular amino acid; and 'wobble' base-pairing, i.e. permitting non-standard base-pairing at the 3rd anti-codon position. Lineage: Eukaryota; Rhodophyta; Florideophyceae; Gigartinales; Caulacanthaceae. The record is from RNAcentral.